CUGGCGGCAGGCUUAGCACAUGCAAGUCGAACGGUAGCAGGAAGAAAGCUUGCUUUCUUUGCUGACGAGUGGCGGACGGGUGAGUAAUGCUUGGGAAUCUGGCUUAUGGAGGGGGAUAACUGUGGGAAACUGCAGCUAAUACCGCGUAUUCUCUGAGGAGGAAAGGGUGGGACCUUAGGGCCACCUGCCAUAAGAUGAGCCCAAGUGGGAUUAGGUAGUUGGUGGGGUAAAGGCCUACCAAGCCUGCGAUCUCUAGCUGGUCUGAGAGGAUGACCAGCCACACUGGAACUGAGACACGGUCCAGACUCCUACGGGAGGCAGCAGUGGGGAAUAUUGCGCAAUGGGGGGAACCCUGACGCAGCCAUGCCGCGUGAAUGAAGAAGGCCUUCGGGUUGUAAAGUUCUUUCGGUAAUGAGGAAGGGAUGUUGUUAAAUAGAUAGCAUCAUUGACGUUAAUUACAGAAGAAGCACCGGCUAACUCCGUGCCAGCCGCCGCGGUAAU
RNAcentral lists this ribosomal RNA (501 nucleotides) under Pasteurella multocida. RNAcentral's name for it is "bacterial SSU rRNA". It matches the Rfam family "Bacterial small subunit ribosomal RNA", at positions 36 to 524 of the family's 1533-position model. The record is from RNAcentral. Lineage: Bacteria; Pseudomonadati; Pseudomonadota; Gammaproteobacteria; Pasteurellales; Pasteurellaceae.